GACGAACGCUGGCGGCGUGCCUAAUACAUGCAAGUAGAACGCUGAAGCUUGGUGCUUGCACCGAGCGGAUGAGUUGCGAACGGGUGAGUAACGCGUAGGUAACCUGCCUGGUAGCGGGGGAUAACUAUUGGAAACGAUUGCUAAUACCGCAUAAGAGUAGAUGUUGCAUGACAUUUGCUUAAAAGGUGCAAUUGCAUCACUACCAGAUGGACCUGCGUUGUAUUAGCUAGUUGGUGAGGUAACGGCUCACCAAGGCAACGAUACAUAGCCGACCUGAGAGGGUGAUCGGCCACACUGGGACUGAGACACGGCCCAGACUCCUACGGGAGGCAGCAGUAGGGAAUCUUCGGCAAUGGACGGAAGUCUGACCGAGCAACGCCGCGUGAGUGAAGAAGGUUUUCGGAUCGUAAAGCUCUGUUGUAAGAGAAGAACGAGUGUGAGAGUGGAAAGUUCACACUGUGACGGUAUCUUACCAGAAAGAGACGGCUAACUACGUG
RNAcentral lists this ribosomal RNA (497 nucleotides) under uncultured bacterium. RNAcentral describes it as "partial 16S ribosomal RNA". It matches the Rfam family "Bacterial small subunit ribosomal RNA", at positions 28 to 507 of the family's 1533-position model. The record is from RNAcentral.